RNAcentral lists this long non-coding RNA (1519 nucleotides) under Pogona vitticeps (central bearded dragon). Its description in RNAcentral is "lncRNA (ENSPVIG00000012285.1)". Lineage: Eukaryota; Metazoa; Chordata; Lepidosauria; Squamata; Agamidae. The record is from RNAcentral.
AUUGCCAUAAUUUGGAAGUAAAAGAGGUCAGUGUGCUACUUUUCCAUGCUGGACAGGAAGCAUGCAAAUGUGGGCUUCUAGACUUCUAGCAAGCUAAAACAAAAGCAAUGACAGGCUUUAUUGGGGUUAUUUAUAUGAGGCUAGAGUAUACCAUGCCAUGCCUUGCGGGAUUAUUUGGGUAAUGGGAGAUAUUCAAUAAACUUUAGAUCAGGAAGACAAAGAAGUCUUCCUGAUCUAAUAUACAGUAUCUUAGAGACAGAGAAGAACAAAUCCUUUGCAACGUACCUGGAAGUUCACUUUACAGCUUCUUUUCCUCUGAUUCUGUCAACGUCGUUGAUAGUAAACAUAGAUUCUUGCUUUUUGAAUUCUUGUUUUUCAGACGUCAGGGCUUGUCUUAGCUCUUAAGCCCAAGAAGUAGCCACUUCUGAUGUUAUCUCAAAAUUACAAUGAAAAGGGAUCUCCUCACUAACACUUCCCAAGAAAACCAGGAGCAAACUGAAACAGGAGCUGCUAAACUAAACAUGGGAGGGAACUUGGAGGAACUAGGUUUGCUCUCUGAUGGUGCCCCAUUUCCGGAAUGCUUUCUCCACUGAUUCUUGACUGGUGCUUCAGAAUGAGGUGCAACAUUUGCUUCAGCAAGUGAGAAGGCAUAACCCGAAAUGACCCAAGGCUAUCCACAGGUAGAAUUAGCUUAAACAUUUAUUCAAGUAACAACAGGGAUUAUGCUCCAGAAAAGGAUGGAACAAUGUAAAAGAAAUCAGAGGAAAAUCAAUGAAUUUCAGACAGAAUGCAAUAGAAUGAUUAAAUGAAUAAUGCAAAAUAGAACACAUUCAAAGUAUCAGAUAAAAGAUAGAAAAUGCAAAAUUAGUCACAGUUAGCCCUUUAUAUAGAUUUGGUUUUUGCAGGCAGAAGAUAAGAGGGAAAGAGACUGGGUUAUGCACAUUUUUUUUAAAGUUAAUACUCUGGCCAAAACAGCAGAUUAGGUGAGUCAUGUGAAAACCUUUUUAUCUUCUUCCACUAUUUCAUUUUUUUUUCUCUCAGGCAUAUUAUCUCAGGCUCUCUCGUUCUGGUACCUGCCUUUUGUUAAAUGCCCUAUAACAAGGAAUGCUUUAGAUUUAAUGCAUUGUACCUAAUUUUCUGAAAAGUUCACAAAUAUUCACUUGUUCUCUUAACAUGGGGCUGGCUCGAUUGAGCAAAAUGGGACAAUUAUUCAUGGAGGAAGAAGGGAAAGGAUUGAGAAUAUAUGUUUUUUAACCAGAUAGUUCAAGUUCUAGCUCUUGAUUUCAUCUCUCAGGUGGCAAUGCUGCCUUCUACUCACUGUAUUACAUGAGCACACACACUACAGGGGAAGAUAAAGAGUGUGUGAGAGAGAAACUAGAGCGAGGUUGUGGUCAAGAACAGUGAAUGUAGAAGACAAUGAAUUAGAGGUGAUGGACAGAAGAUGCUGAUGCAGUAAUAUGUUGGGAGGUGACGAGGGCAGAGGCGGAAAAUAAAUCUACCACUUCUUGGGCUGCUGGCA